This 486-nucleotide ribosomal RNA is filed under the name uncultured bacterium. Its description in RNAcentral is "partial 16S ribosomal RNA". It matches the Rfam family "Bacterial small subunit ribosomal RNA", at positions 28 to 507 of the family's 1533-position model. The record is from RNAcentral.
GAUGAACGCUGGCGGCGUGCCUAAUACAUGCAAGUCGAACGCUGGCACUCUAGCUUGCUAGUCUGAAGGAGUGCCGAUCGGGUGCGUAUUAGAUAUGCAACCUACUCACGUAGUCCGGGAUAAUCUCUGGAAACGGGGACUAAUUACGGACAGGUAAUCGGAACGCAUCUACUGAUUAUUAAUGGUUAAAAACCCUGGUUGAUGGGGUUAUGGCGCAUUAGUUAGUUGGUAAGGUCACGGCCCACCAAGACGAUGAAGCGGAGCCGGGCUGAAAGGGAGAACGGCCAGAUUGGGACUGAGACACGGCCCAGACUGCUACGGGAGGCAGCGGUAGAUAAGAUACGGCGAUGAGGGAAACCCUGACCGAGCAGCGCCGCGUGAGAGGGGACGGGCGUCGUGUAGUAAAUUUCUGUUGUAAGAGAAGAACGGUAGAUAGAGAAUAUCUAUAUGACGGUACCUUACCAGAAAGCCACGGCUAACUACGUG